Molecule: non-coding RNA, 1186 nt
Organism: Callithrix jacchus (white-tufted-ear marmoset)
Lineage: Eukaryota; Metazoa; Chordata; Mammalia; Primates; Cebidae
Source: RefSeq, a predicted model, not a curated record
ACCCUGGAGGGAGGAGAGGGAGGGGUCAUGAGGGCACAGCUCAUCCACCUACCACCCCUGCCCCCCACCCCUCUCCCCUCACCUGUGAAAAGCCGCCCAGGACGAUUCGAUUGGCAGGGAUCCCAUUCUUCAUUUCAUGCUCAAUCAAGGCCUUGACUGGGGGGAGGGGGUGUGAUUGUGUGGGGGGAAGUUGCCAAGGGGCCCAAGAAGGGAGCCAGGUGGAGGAACCAUCCAGCGCUUUCCUGGGGGGCAGGGGAAGGAGGAUGUGGAGCAGGGCCUGGGGUCUUACUGUUCUCUGCUGCCUUCUUGAUGCCAGCCUCAUCCUCUGGGGCAUCUGGACUCAGCCCCAUCAGGUCAAACCUGGGGAGUAGAGGUAUUGGCAGCUAUAGAAAACCCUGGCCAGCACCCUGUAGUUCCCUCAGCUCAAGUGUCCUUGUCCCCCUGCCCACCACCCACUCCCAAACUCACCAGGAGGGCAUCACCAUCUUCAUGUUGAGGGUCACAGGGAUCCUAGGCCUGGGGAGGGACAGCCAGAGGGCCCAUCAUACUCAGGAGGGAUGAGGAAGCCACAGCCCAGAGCCGGGAGUGGGACCAUGCCUCCCCUGGGGGCCCCUCCCCUGGGGGCCCCUCCCAGCAGACAGGGCCUGUGUUUAAGGUGUUGCCAGGCAACCUGCCAUGUGGGGCUGGAGGCUGUGGUUGGGGCAGAGCGCCAGCGAUGGAGAAGCAGGGCACAGCUCUUGGUGUGAUGGGGUCCCAGGCAGUCGGUAUUGGUCAACAAAUACAUCUGUUUCCAGUCUGCACCAAAAAAGCUAUGAUGCUUUUCUCCUCAAACCCACCUAAGUAAGUUAUCCCGUUUCUAGAAGCAAAUGUGUGCUCUUGACACAACCAGUGAAGGAAUCCAUCUGAGGAGGCAACUGGGCACAGCCUAUUCAGCCUGAGGAAUCUCUGAGGACAAAUGGGAAUUCUCACUGAUUUCUAGGACUACACUGGGACAGAUGCAGUUUUACCAUGUUGGCAGCCGAUCUCAAACUCCUGACCUUAAGUGACCCACCUGCCUUGGUCUCCAAAGUUCUGGGAUUACAGGCAUGAGCCACUGUACCCAUCAGCCUUUUUCUUUAAAUCCAGAAGAGGUGGCAACACUGGGCUCUGUCUUCUACCUAGAAGCAAUAAAGUGAAGCUGCGUGAA